RNAcentral lists this ribosomal RNA (854 nucleotides) under uncultured archaeon. Its description in RNAcentral is "bacterial SSU rRNA". It matches the Rfam family "Archaeal small subunit ribosomal RNA", at positions 39 to 899 of the family's 1478-position model. The record is from RNAcentral.
UUCGAUUAAGCCAUGCGAGUCGCGAGUCUUAGGGACUCGGCGUGCCGCUCAGUAACACGUGGGUAACCUGCCCUAUGCUGGGGAAUAACCUCGGGAAACUGAGAAUAAUGCCCCAUAGUUCACCACGCCUGGAACGGUGGGUGGAUCAAAGCUCCGGCGGCAUAGGAUGGGCCUGCGGCGUAUCAGGUCGUAGGGGGUGUAAUGUACCCUCUAGCCAUCGACGCGUACGGGUGUUGGGAGACAUUGCCCGGAGAUGGAUUCUGAGACACGAAUCCAGACCCUACGGGGUGCAGCAGGCGCGAAAACUUGGCAAUGCGAGAAAUCGUGACCAGGGAACUCCAAGUGCAUCGGGUAAGACCGAUGCUUUUCUUGACUCUUCAACGGUCUUGGAAUAAGGGUGGGUAAGGACGGAGCCAGCCGCCGCGGUAAUACCGGCGCCUCAAGUGGUAGUCGCUUUUAUUGGGCCUAAAACGUCCGUAGCCGGUUUGGUACAUUCGUGGGUAAAUCAAGGCGCUCAACGUCUUGAAUUCUGCGAGCACGGCCAGACUUGGGACCGGGUGAGGUGUGGGGUACUCUCAGGGUAGGGGUAGAAUCCUGUCAUCCUGAGAGGACCACCUGUUGCGAAGGCGCCACACUAGAACGGAUCCGACGGUCAGGGACGAAGCCUAGGGGCACGAACCGGAUUAGAUACCCGGGUAGUCCUAGGUGUAAACGCUGUGGACUUGAUGUUGGGAGUGCUCCGAGCACCCUCAGUGUCGAAGCGAAGGUGAUAAGUCCACUGCCUGGGGAGUACGGUCGCAAGGCUGAAACUUAAAGGAAUUGGCGGGGGAGCACUGCAACCUGAGGAUUGUGCG